GAUUCCUCAAAUCAUUCUUCAGCACUCACCUUUGCCAUCUAUUCUGGUGGGUACUAGUGAAAUCUCACUGUGAUUUUAAUUUCUGUCUUCUUGGUGACUAAGAAUAGAAUUCACCAGUUGAAAGCAUCCAUUUCUAUUUCUUCUUUGUCAGCUUUGAAUGUCUUUCCUGGCAUAUAUAGAAGAUGCAAAGAUUAAAGGGGACACGGGUUUGAGCCAUGGUCUGGGAAGAUCCC
Molecule: non-coding RNA, 233 nt
Organism: Delphinapterus leucas (beluga whale)
Lineage: Eukaryota; Metazoa; Chordata; Mammalia; Artiodactyla; Monodontidae
Source: RefSeq, a predicted model, not a curated record